RNA transcript from Solanum stenotomum, 1280 nucleotides. It is a transcript of the gene named 60S ribosomal protein L23a-like, with no coding region annotated. The transcript has 3 exons. Lineage: Eukaryota; Viridiplantae; Streptophyta; Magnoliopsida; Solanales; Solanaceae. The record is from RefSeq and is a predicted model, not a curated record.
CCCUCUCGCUUGCGGAGUGCCGCGUGAAAUGUUCAGCUUCCGUCAACGAGAUGGCCUGUUUCCUUCGCCAUUCAUCCUCUCCGAAACCCUAAUUUUUUUGAAUAUUCUGGAUUUUCUUGUUACCCUAUAGUUGGUGGCGCCGCCCAAUUCUAAUGGCUGCUGCAAUAACCACUCCGGCGGCUAUUGUUUGUUCCCGCCGGCGUAAGGAUCAAAUAUUCAGUUACUCAGUAUCAAUCACCAGGGCUACGUUUUCUUUCGCUUUUGUUCCCUUUCACAAGUCGUCUUCUUCUAUAAACCUCUGUUCUUUUCUCGGCAAUUUCCGUCAGACCAGCGAUGAAUUGCUGACAAGCUUUGGUGCUAGAGGUUCUCAGUUUCUAUGUCCUGUAUCUUGCGAAGUUGACGGUCGCAAAGAGGGAGAUGCCAAGAAACAAAGGCUAGCAUAUGCCAGUAAAGUGAAAUCGGAUGAAUCAACCAAUAUGCAAGUAUUAGAUAUCCAAAAAUCAGUCUCAUCUGAACGGAGGAAGAUGUUGAAAAUGGAAAGAAAUCCCAAGCGUCUCAACAAUAGUGCAUCACAGAGGAACAAAAUUGAAUAUUACCAGGUCAUCCAAUAUCCUCUGAAAACUGAGUCUACUAUGGGGAAUAUAUUACGUCAUAAUACUUUGGUUUUUGUUGUUCACAAAGAUGCUGACAAGAAGAGCAUAAGGGAUGCUGUAAAGAAGCUGUUUAAGAUUGAAAUGAAGAAAGUAAAUACAUCAAUCAUGCCUGACGGGACGAAGAAAGCAUAUGUUAUGCUGACACCAAAUUAUAGUGCACUAGAUGUGGCAAAAAAAAUCAAAGCCAUUUAAAAGUUGAUUCUCCGUCUUCCUUUCCUUGCCAAGACAAUCUGGUGGCUAUAUAAGGUUUGUAACGUUGACGACAUGGAGCCAUUCUCAAUUGGACUGAUGUUUUUUUCUUUUAAUUCACUGCAAAUGCAAUAAUGCAGAGAUUAGUUGGGAAAAGAUAGUGACAUAUUGCAGACAUUUCCUAGUUCCUACCAACUACUGACAAAAGUGCAAGGCACAGUAAGUCCUUCGGCUCCUUAUCCUAAUUUUAUCAUUUUCCCAAAGAUCUCUCACUGAUUCUGCUUUAUGAAAAAUGAUCAUCCCUGGGUCCUGGUGGAUAUAGCUUGGAUGAUUGCCCUCUUAGCAAGGGCACAAUACAAUUCUUCCCUCUGAUUUUGUUUGUUUUCCUUUUUCCUUGCUGGAUAAGGGAAAGAAAGAACAAGUGGAGCCCCCGCUUUU